Molecule: ribosomal RNA, 459 nt
Filed under: uncultured bacterium
Lineage: Bacteria
Description: partial 16S ribosomal RNA
Rfam family: Bacterial small subunit ribosomal RNA
Source: RNAcentral
CCUACGGGAGGCAGCAGUGAGGAAUCUUGGUCAAUGGCCGAGAGGCUGAACCAGCCAAGUCGCGUGAGGGAAGACGGCCCUACGGGUUGUAAACCUCUUUUGUCGGGGAGCAAAGCGAGUCACGUGUGACUCAUUGAGAGUACCCGAAGAAAAAGCAUCGGCUAACUCCGUGCCAGCAGCCGCGGUAAUACGGAGGAUGCGAGCGUUCUCCGGAUUUAUUGGGUUUAAAGGGUGCGCAGGCGGAGGUGCAAGUCAGCGGUCAAAUUGCGGGGCUCAACCCCGUACUGCCGUUGAAACUGCAUGCCUUGAGUGCGCGAGAAGUAUGCGGAAUGCGUGGUGUAGCGGUGAAAUGCAUAGAUAUCACGCAGAACGCCGAGUGCGAAGGCAGCAUACCGGCGCGCAACUGACGCUCAUGCACGAAAGCGUGGGUAUCGAACAGGAUUAGAUACCCGGGUAGUC